Molecule: transfer RNA, 72 nt
Filed under: Camelus bactrianus (Bactrian camel)
Lineage: Eukaryota; Metazoa; Chordata; Mammalia; Artiodactyla; Camelidae
Also listed under: 2 other names
Rfam family: tRNA
About the family: Transfer RNA (tRNA) molecules are approximately 80 nucleotides in length. Their secondary structure includes four short double-helical elements and three loops (D, anti-codon, and T loops). Further hydrogen bonds mediate the characteristic L-shaped molecular structure. tRNAs have two regions of fundamental functional importance: the anti-codon, which is responsible for specific mRNA codon recognition, and the 3' end, to which the tRNAs corresponding amino acid is attached (by aminoacyl-tRNA synthetases). tRNAs cope with the degeneracy of the genetic code in two manners: having more than one tRNA (with a specific anti-codon) for a particular amino acid; and 'wobble' base-pairing, i.e. permitting non-standard base-pairing at the 3rd anti-codon position.
Source: Rfam by way of RNAcentral
GAGGGUGUAGCUCAGUGGUAGAGCGUGUGCUUAGCAUGCAGGAUGUCCUGGGUUCAGUCCCCAGUAUCUCCA